Long non-coding RNA from Cannabis sativa, 760 nucleotides. RefSeq lists it as uncharacterized. The transcript has 3 exons. The record is from RefSeq and is a predicted model, not a curated record. NCBI's taxonomy places the organism in Eukaryota, Viridiplantae, Streptophyta, Magnoliopsida, Rosales, Cannabaceae.
UUUUGUAUAAGCUUGAUAAUAAAAUAUAUAUAUAUAUAUUUAUAAAGGCUAUAGUAAUAGAUGAAUAGAGAGAGGGUCACGUGAGAGUGAGAGAAGAAUGAGGAAGUUAGUUUAGGAUAUUUGACUUAGUUGAAUUUAAAUUUAAAUUAUGAGGAAUUUUAUAUUAGUAAUUAAUCAAUAUUUUAUUCCUUAAAAAAAUAAAAGGUAUAGCUGAGUUUAAAUUUUAAAUUCCUAGAUUUUCUCUAAUCAGUUGAAUAUAUACGAUAUGGUUUUACCAUUCAAUGAAACGAUGAACACAAACUUCAUUCUCUACUUCUUUCUCUCCACUUAGAUAAUUCCUAAAUCUCUCAUAGCCUCUAUCACACCAAAUUACAGCAUAGCAUAAAUUGAAGCCUCUAUCACAAUAUUCAAUUUCUAAGGGCCUAGAAGGUAUCGUAGGAGUUAAUUACAGCGGAGUUGAGAUAAGUAAGCCUGUAAGUUUUCGGUGACAAGUUGAGUCUGGGCAGCAUGGGGUGUAUCUCGUGUGAUCAUGUAACUGCGUGUGGUCUUGGCCAUCUUCCGCUGAAAGUUUUUUUUUUAAUUUAUUAAACUUAUCGAGGAUGUUGUCGUUUAAAUUUUCUAUUACUUUUCCCUAAGUGGUAAUACUUUAUUUUCAACUGGGUACCCAUGUUUUGAAAAUUGUUAUUUUUUUUAAUAAAGGCAACAUUAGUAUCUUAACGCCAGUUUAUUUAUGGCAUCUUAUUUUACGUAAGUAAGGGCG